GAGNGCGGGCUGGACCUCUCGGGGUUACUCCCUUGCUGAAUUAUUCACCCUUGUCUUUUGAGUACUUCUUGUUUCCUUGGUGGGUUCGCCCACCACUAGGACAAACAUAAACCUUUUGGAAUUGCAAUCAGCGUCAGUAACAAAUUAAUAAUUACAACUUUCAACAACGGAUCUCUUGGUACUGGCAUCGAAGAGAACGCAGCAAGAAUAU
This 211-nucleotide unclassified non-coding RNA is filed under the name Alternaria alternata. RNAcentral's name for it is "sequence contains ITS1, 5.8S rRNA gene, ITS2". Lineage: Eukaryota; Fungi; Ascomycota; Dothideomycetes; Pleosporales; Pleosporaceae. The record is from RNAcentral.